Molecule: ribosomal RNA, 433 nt
Filed under: uncultured bacterium
Lineage: Bacteria
Description: partial 16S ribosomal RNA
Rfam family: Bacterial small subunit ribosomal RNA
Source: RNAcentral
AACGAACGCUGGCGGCAUGCCUAACACAUGCAAGUCGAACGAGACCUUCGGGUCUAGUGGCGCACGGGUGCGUAACGCGUGGGAACCUGCCCUUAGGUUCGGAAUAACUCCCCGAAAGGGGUGCUAAUACCGGAUAAUGUCUUCGGACCAAAGAUUUAUCGCCUUUGGAUGGGCCCGCGUUGGAUUAGCUAGUUGGUAGGGUAAAAGCCUACCAAGGCGACGAUCCAUAGCUGGUCUGAGAGGAUGAUCAGCCACACUGGGACUGAGACACGGCCCAGACUCCUACGGGAGGCAGCAGUGGGGGAUAUUGGACAGUGGGCGAAAGCCUGAUCCAGCGAUGCCGCGUGAGUGAUGAAGGCCUUAGGGUUGUAAAGCUCUUUUACCCGGGAUGAUAAUGACAGUACCGGGAGAAUAAGCUCCGGCUAACUCCGUG